GCUACGGUCCGCGGAUCCCGCGAGGAACCGCCGAGUCUUGUGUCGAAGAUAAUUAUUAUCCGGCGGUGCGCGCGUACAACAGCGAGAUAGAAGGGGGCAAAGCGGAGGGAGGAGGGAAAGGAAGCUCGUUUCGAAAAGAGCGAAAAUUAAAUUGCGUCUUAACACGUGAGUCGACGAGGCGUAUAGUUAAGACCGAGCAAGGUUAAAAGGAGCCGGUUAACACAGUUGUAAGAGCCCGCUAUCAACGAUCCGCGAUAUACCCGUUCUGCGCGUUACGGGAGUAAAAGAGAAACUUGAGAAAAUACAAAGAUGCAUCUGAAAGUAAUUUAUGCAGAACGCUCCGAAGUCGGACGAUCGAGCUCCCGCCGGUAUACUCCGUGUAUGAGUGGAAUAGCAGGAAACUGAGAAGAUAGUUUUUGCAAGUAUUUUGUAGUGUCAGUAGCGAUAAACUUACAUACAUAUCGCUACUACUAUACAUUGUUUGGAUCAAGAGGAUGCUAAAGUCGAUGACGAACUUGAUAAGCGUCGUUAACGCAGAAGCGAUCGUCGAAACGUUUAUGUCACUAUAAACACUGAUACGAUCACGCUUUCUAUAUUUCUGAUAGAUUUUAUGUAAUUGAAGCUGGCGGAUCCCCAUUUGAUAAAAUGACGGCGGAUUUGAGUCGAAGAAGUUUUUAACUCCUUGUAUUAUGAUUUAAGUCAUGACGGCGCGUGUCACAAUCAAUGACAGAGUCGCUCAUGCGUUGACCCAUGUAGCUGUUCGGCCAUGCGCCGAAACUAUUAAAUUUCCUUUUUGAAGGCAUUAUAUAAGGGUUUUUUUUACUAUUUUUUUACUUAUAUUUUUUUAGUUAUGUUUGUAUAUGCUAUUUUCAAUCGAAGGUGAUCGGUUUCGAUAAUUGUGCGAGCUUUUGUCAGGCUUGAAAUAUAGUACAAUUUGGUAUACAAAUGUCACGAGUGUCACAAAUGUCUCGAACAAAGAAUACACGAGUGUGAUUUUUGACAAAAGGUGGACAAGUUGGGGAGGACUGUUUGGCUGCUGCGACUACCAAAAAUCGUAUACUGCUAAAUUUUUAUUUGCGGAGAACAGUGAAAGAUGAAAAAGGUAGUGCAUUGUACAAAAGUCGAUUCGCGGCAAGAACUGAUGGACAGAAUCAGUGAUACGUUUUAUGAAAUAAAGUAAGAUAGAGAUAAAAUUCAUAGAGGGAUUAAAAUUAAAUCUUCCGAUGUCAAGCUUGUA
Dinoponera quadriceps is the source of this 1237-nucleotide long non-coding RNA. RefSeq lists it as uncharacterized. The record is from RefSeq and is a predicted model, not a curated record. NCBI's taxonomy places the organism in Eukaryota, Metazoa, Arthropoda, Insecta, Hymenoptera, Formicidae. The transcript is spliced from 3 exons.